Molecule: ribosomal RNA, 487 nt
Filed under: uncultured bacterium
Lineage: Bacteria
Description: partial 16S ribosomal RNA
Rfam family: Bacterial small subunit ribosomal RNA
Source: RNAcentral
GAUGAACGCUAGCGAUAGGCUUAACACAUGCAAGUCGAGGGGCAGCACAAGGUAGCUUGCUAUCUGGGUGGCGACCGGCGCACGGGUGCGUAACGCGUAUGCAACUUGCCCUAUACAGGAGGAUAACCCGUCGAAAGACGGACUAAUACUGCGUAUGCUCACAACUUGGCAUCAAGUGGUGAGGAAAGAAAUUCGGUAUAGGAUAGGCAUGCGUCCCAUUAGCUUGUUGGUGAGGUAACGGCUCACCAAGGCAACGAUGGGUAGGGGAACUGAGAGGUUUAUCCCCCACACUGGUACUGAGACACGGACCAGACUCCUACGGAAGGCAGCAGUGAGGAAUAUUGGUCAAUGGGCGCGAGCCUGAACCAGCCAAGUCGCGUGAAGGAUGACUGUCUUAUGGAUUGUAAACUUCUUUUAUACGGGAAUAACAAGAGUCACGUGUGACUCCCUGCAUGUACCGUAUGAAUAAGCAUCGGCUAACUCCGUG